This 465-nucleotide ribosomal RNA is filed under the name uncultured bacterium. Its description in RNAcentral is "partial 16S ribosomal RNA". It matches the Rfam family "Bacterial small subunit ribosomal RNA", at positions 339 to 795 of the family's 1533-position model. The record is from RNAcentral.
CUACGGGGGGCUGCAGUGGGGAAUAUUGGACAAUGGGGGAAACCCUGAUCCAGCAAUGCCGCGUGUGUGAAAAAGGCCUGCGGGUUGUAAAGCACUUUCGGUUGGGAGGACUGCUUCUAGCACUAAUAUUGUUGGAAGUUGACGUUACCUUCAGAAGAAGCACCGGCUAACUCCGUGCCAGCGGCCGCGGUAAUACGGAGGGUGCAAGCGUUAAUCGGAAUUACUGGGCGUAAAGCGCGCGUAGGCGGCUAGAUCAGUCGGGUGUGAAAGCCCCGGGCUUAACCUGGGAACUGCAUCCGAUACUGUCUAGCUUGAGUACAGGAGAGGAGAGUGGAAUUCCACAUGUAGCGGUGAAAUGCGUAGAUAUGUGGAGGAACACCAAUGGCGAAGGCAGCUCUCUGGCCUGAUACUGACGCUGAGGUGCGAAAGCGUGGGGAGCAAACAGGAUUAGAUACCCGCGUAGUC